This 492-nucleotide ribosomal RNA is filed under the name uncultured bacterium. Its description in RNAcentral is "partial 16S ribosomal RNA". It matches the Rfam family "Bacterial small subunit ribosomal RNA", at positions 29 to 507 of the family's 1533-position model. The record is from RNAcentral.
AGUGAACGCUGGCGGUAGGCCUAACACAUGCAAGUCGAACGGCAGCACAGUAAGAGCUUGCUCUUACGGGUGGCGAGUGGCGGACGGGUGAGGAAUACAUCGGAUUCUACUUUUUCGUGGGGGAUAACGUAGGGAAACUUAUGCUAAUACCGCAUACGACCUACGGGUGAAAGCAGGGGAUCUUCGGACUUUGCGCGAUUGAAUGAGCCGAUGUCGGAUUAGCUAGUUGGCGGGGUAAAGGCCCACCAAGGCGACGAUCCGUAGCUGGUCUGAGAGGAUGAUCCGCCACACUGGAACUGAGACACGGUCCAGACUCCUACGGGAGGCAGCAGUGGGGAAUAUUGGGCAAUGGGCGCAAGCCUGAUCCAGCAAUACCGCGUGGGUGAUGAAGGACUUCGGGUUGUAAAGCCCUUUUGUUUGGAAAGAAAAACAGCAGGUUAAUACCCCGCUGUUCUGACGGUACCCAAAGAAUAAGCACCGGCUAACUUCGUG